UGACGCCCUUGUUAUGAACGGAACGUGUUCAAGGUUGAGUUAAGAGUGAUGCGUGUUACGAGACCACAUACGCAGUUUGAAAUAUCUCGUGUAUGAGGGACCGGGUGUGGCAUCGCCAUAUUUUGGUGCAUGGUACACUCUCACAGUCACAUACCUAAGGUUCCUGUGGCAGGUCCUCCCAGAAAGAGUUGAUAUUUCCCUGUUUCAUCGGAGAUAGAGAAUCGAUCGUACGUUUCAUACAGCGUC
Molecule: long non-coding RNA, 246 nt
Organism: Saccostrea cuccullata (small rock oyster)
Lineage: Eukaryota; Metazoa; Mollusca; Bivalvia; Ostreida; Ostreidae
Exons: 3
Source: RefSeq, a predicted model, not a curated record